RNAcentral lists this long non-coding RNA (1004 nucleotides) under Carica papaya (papaya). RNAcentral's name for it is "long non-coding RNA (CPAP_LNC016411)". The record is from RNAcentral. Lineage: Eukaryota; Viridiplantae; Streptophyta; Magnoliopsida; Brassicales; Caricaceae.
UAGAAGUACAAAAUCAAAUACAACAAACUUACUGUAAAUCUAAACAAUAGAUCAAGGCUCAUAGGUGGAAAGCAGCAAUUCCAUCAGGGUGAGGUCAUUACCUGUACAAGGUGAAAAAAAGAAUGAUGAUUCUGCCUUCAUACUACUAAAGAUUACAGGCUCUACCAUGAUGCUUUGGCUAAUAAAAGGUCAAGGUGCCCUGACUAGCAUUAGGAGAGGUAAAUCUUAUCAUUAUUUUAGUUGUAUAUGCAUAUAUUCAUGUGUAAAUCCACUACAUGUUACGUUGAGUAAUGUGUGUAUAUAUGUUUUAGAAGAUAAACUAUGAUGCUGAUGAAGAAAGGACAAGCUAUAAAAUUUGCAGAGGGUGUAUAAGAGAUCCAAAAUGCAGAAUGCACCUUUUGUGUCUACUUUAGUUAUGUAAAGUGUUGUUUUAGGGACUGUUAAUGCCGCACCUACAUUUGUUAUAUGCAGAAUGCACAGCUCUAAUCUCCCCUAAUCAUCACUCUUGCUUAAUGAUUAUAUAGAUUGAAAGCUUCAUCUUUCAAACUUUAUGUCAACUAUACAUGAAAUCCAGAUUGCAUGAUCAUGUUUUUUGGUUAAUGACUCGAGCUUGAUCACCUCUUUUGAUUAGAAUCUGGAUGCACGUGCCAUCUUUCACUCCAUAGUAUGUAAAUCCCUACAAUGAUGGCGGCAGCAUCUGCAACAGCUCUGGGCAUCGAGGUGGUGGACAACAAGGCUCUUUAACUAGUCAUUGUUUAUUCAGGUUCUAUGGUGGCCAUGCAUUGGAUGCUCUUAUCAAAAGUGUUUGUUGUUGUACAAUAGGUGAUGAUUAGACUAGAAAAUUUUUGUUUGGAACUUAUGUUUUAGAGAAGAGAAAGAAAUUCUUUGGAAUUAAUGAGGGAAGAACUAAAGAACAAAAGAGGAUAUACAUAUAUGUAUAUUUGUAUUUUUUUUCUCUCUUAAAAAUUCUUUAACAAUAAUGCUACAUAUUGUUUAAGUAGGCA